GAGGAAUAUUGGUCAAUGGGCGAAAGCCUGAACCAGCCAUGCCGCGUGAAGGAUGUAGGUUCUAUGGAUUGUAAACUUCUUUUAUUUGGGAAUAAACCUCGAGACGUGUCUCGAGCUGAAGGUACCAAAUGAAUAAGCACCGGCUAACUCCGUGCCAGCAGCCGCGGUAAUACGGAGGGUGCAAGCGUUAUCCGGAAUCAUUGGGUUUAAAGGGUCCGCAGGCGGAUUUAUAAGUCAGUGGUGAAAUCUCUCGGCUCAACCGAAAAACUGCCAUUGAUACUGUAAGUCUUGGAUUCGGUCGAAGUGGGCGGAAUAUGACAUGUAGCGGUGAAAUGCUUAGAUAUGUCAUAGAACACCGAUAGCGAAGGCAGCUCACUAGGCCUGGAUUGACGCUCAUGGACGAAAGCGUGGGGAGCAAAC
This 420-nucleotide ribosomal RNA is filed under the name uncultured bacterium. Its description in RNAcentral is "bacterial SSU rRNA". It matches the Rfam family "Bacterial small subunit ribosomal RNA", at positions 356 to 773 of the family's 1533-position model. The record is from RNAcentral.